AUGCAUGUCUAAGUACAAGCCAGUCUAAGGUGAAACCGCGAAUGGCUCAUUAAAUCACACCUGAUGUACCGGACAGUUCCACUUACUUGGAUAACUGCGGUAAUUCUGGAGCUAAUACAUGCCUAAAAGCCCUGACUCACGGAGGGGCGCUUUUAUUAGAUCAAAACCAAACGGCUUGCCGUUUUCUUGGUGAUUCUGAAUAACUUUUUGCUGAUCGUAUGGCUCUACGCCGACGACGUGUCCGUCCAAGGUGUGCCCUAUCAACUGUCGACUGUGGCAUAGACGCCCACAGUGGUUUUGACGGGUAACGGGGAAUUAGGGUUCGAUUCCGGAGAGGGAGCCUGAGAAACGGCUACCACU
Molecule: ribosomal RNA, 360 nt
Filed under: Sapphirina sp. USNM IZ 1448528
Lineage: Eukaryota; Metazoa; Arthropoda; Copepoda; Poecilostomatoida; Sapphirinidae
Also listed under: 5 other names
Description: SSU rRNA
Rfam family: Eukaryotic small subunit ribosomal RNA
Source: RNAcentral